GUGGGUAGUAUGAGCAUUGAUCAAUUCAGUGAUCAUCGAAUCUUUGAACGCACAUUGCGCCUCUUGCAUUCCGAGAGGCAUGCCUGUUUGAGUGUCAUUAA
This 101-nucleotide ribosomal RNA is filed under the name Marasmius imitarius. Its description in RNAcentral is "partial 5.8S ribosomal RNA". It matches the Rfam family "5.8S ribosomal RNA", at positions 55 to 154 of the family's 154-position model. Rfam says of the family: 5.8S ribosomal RNA (5.8S rRNA) is a component of the large subunit of the eukaryotic ribosome. It is transcribed by RNA polymerase I as part of the 45S precursor that also contains 18S and 28S rRNA. The record is from RNAcentral. Lineage: Eukaryota; Fungi; Basidiomycota; Agaricomycetes; Agaricales; Marasmiaceae.